AUUGAACGCUGGCGGCAUGCUUUACACAUGCAAGUCGAACGGCAGCGCGGGCUUCGGCCUGGCGGCGAGUGGCGAACGGGUGAGUAAUACAUCGGAACGUGCCCAGUAGUGGGGGAUAGCCCGGCGAAAGCCGGAUUAAUACCGCAUACGACCUGAGGGUGAAAGCGGGGGAUCUUCGGACCUCGCGCUAUUGGAGCGGCCGAUGGCAGAUUAGCUAGUUGGUGGGGUAAAGGCCUACCAAGGCGACGAUCUGUAGCUGGUCUGAGAGGACGACCAGCCACACUGGGACUGAGACACGGCCCAGACUCCUACGGGAGGCAGCAGUGGGGAAUUUUGGACAAUGGGCGAAAGCCUGAUCCAGCAAUGCCGCGUGUGUGAUGAAGGCCUUCGGGUUGUAGAGCACUUUUGGCGGGAACGAAAAGGACUGUGCCAAUACCACGGUUCGAUGACGGUACCCGCAGAAUAAGCACCGGCUAACUACGUG
RNAcentral lists this ribosomal RNA (484 nucleotides) under uncultured bacterium. RNAcentral describes it as "partial 16S ribosomal RNA". It matches the Rfam family "Bacterial small subunit ribosomal RNA", at positions 29 to 507 of the family's 1533-position model. The record is from RNAcentral.